UUGGAUAACCGUGGUAAUUCUAGAGUUAAUACAUGCUGAAAACCCCAACUUCGGAAGGGGUGUAUUUAUUAGAUAAAAAACCAACGCCCUUCGGGGCUUCUUGGUGAUUCAUAAUAACUUUACGGAUCGCAUGGCCUUGCGCCGGCGACGGUUCAUUCAAAUUUCUGCCCUAUCAACUUUCGAUGGUAAGGUAUUGGCUUACCAUGGUUUCAACGGGUAACGGGGAAUUAGGGUUCGAUUCCGGAGAGGGAGCCUGAGAAACGGCUACCACAUCCAAGGAAGGCAGCAGGCGCGCAAAUUACCCAAUCCCGACACGGGGAGGUAGUGACAAUAAAUACUGAUACAGGGCUCUUUUGGGUCUUGUAAUUGGAAUGAGUACAAUUUAAACCUCUUAACGAGGAACAAUUGGAGGGCAAGUCUGGUGCCAGCAGCCGCGGUAAUUCCAGCUCCAAUAGCGUAUAUUAAAGUUGUUGCAGUUAAAAAGCUCGUAGUUGAAACUUGGGUCUGGCUGGCAGGUCCGCCUCACCGCGUGUACUUGUCCGGCCGGGCCUUCCUUCUGGAGAACCUCAUGCCCUUCACUGGGCGUGUUGGGGACCAGGACUUUUACUUUGAAAAAAUUAGAGUGUUCAAAGCAGGCCUUUGCUCGAAUACGUUAGCAUGGAAUAAUAGAAUAGGACGUGCGUUCCUAUUUUGUUGGUUUCUAGGAACGCCGUAAUGAUUAAUAGGGACAGUCGGGGGCAUCAGUAUUCAAUUGUCAGAGGUGAAAUUCUUGGAUUUAUUGAAGACUAACUACUGCGAAAGCAUUUGCCAAGGAUGUUUUCAUUAAUCAGUGAACGAAAGUUAGGGGAUCGAAGACGAUCAGAUACCGUCGUAGUCUUAACCGUAAACUAUGCCGACUAGGGAUCGGGCGAUGUUCUUUUUCUGACUCGCUCGGCACCUUACGAGAAAUCAAA
This 953-nucleotide ribosomal RNA is filed under the name Neocamarosporium salicorniicola. RNAcentral describes it as "SSU rRNA". It matches the Rfam family "Eukaryotic small subunit ribosomal RNA", at positions 139 to 1102 of the family's 1831-position model. Lineage: Eukaryota; Fungi; Ascomycota; Dothideomycetes; Neocamarosporiaceae. The record is from RNAcentral.